ACGAGGCCGAGGGAGGAAUUCUGUCGUCUGGGAACGGCUGGUUUCGCGGUCAGACGCCGAGGGCCCUCGAAGUCCCUAGCAACGGCUGCGGAGGGAGAUUCCACCUAGGUCCGUGCAGGUUACAAAUGGCAACCAGAACAGGGACUCCAAGCACGCCCAACUAGCAGCAUCCAAACAUGGGACUUCAAGGACGUGAAUGAAGAAGGUCUGCUGGAGCAGAGGAACUGAAAUUGACAAGGCGAAAGGGGACCCUGGGAAGAGUCUGCCGGCAGCAGAUAUAAGUCUGUAAAAUCGGAUGGACCACCAAUUGGAGAAUGAGAGCCUCCCAGCCCAGCCUUACAUUCUUUCAAUUAAUACAUAAACAGAAAGGGGGAUAUGCAGGGAGCCAAAGGCCUGUGGGACGUGACCAACUCAGCAUUCUGCUGGAGGCUAUAUGAUCAAACAGCAAACUGUUUAUCAUGAAUACAGGAUGUGAGCAAACUCAGGACUGCUCCUGCCAACAUAAGGUUUGCUGGAGGCAAUCACUCCCUGGCACCGAGGUUAUCUACUGCGACAUCUAGAGAAUGCAGUCUUGCAAGCCUACUCUGAACUGAGCAGCCGACCCCUUCUUCCACCCCCCCACCCUCCUAUCUCUUUUGCCUAAUAAAUACGGAGGGCUGUGUAAAGCUCAGGGCCCUUGUCCACUAGAGGUAAGGUGCUCCCUGACCCCUUCUCCCAAAUAUACUCUUUUGUCUCCUGUCUUUAUUCCCACGUUCACCCCCAUUUGUGCAGUCCCAUGGGUCCAUGUGGGUUACGGCCCGCCACCGCGCCUGGCUGAUUUUUGUAUUUUUAGUAGAGAUCGGAUUUCAGCAUCUUGGUCAGGCUGGCCUUCAACUC
RNAcentral lists this long non-coding RNA (876 nucleotides) under Homo sapiens (human). RNAcentral describes it as "non-protein coding ZNF350-AS1:3". Lineage: Eukaryota; Metazoa; Chordata; Mammalia; Primates; Hominidae. The record is from RNAcentral.